Molecule: long non-coding RNA, 1264 nt
Organism: Fundulus heteroclitus (mummichog)
Lineage: Eukaryota; Metazoa; Chordata; Actinopteri; Cyprinodontiformes; Fundulidae
Exons: 3
Source: RefSeq, a predicted model, not a curated record
UGUUGCUGUGCAGUGGAGCCUCUCGGCGUGCAGAGCUCGCAGGAAGAAGCAGCGAUCUGCAGCCCGCAGAGCCGCCAGUGUCCUGCAACAAAUGAUGGAAGCCAUCAAGAAGCGCCGUGCGCCGCGGAAGCCUUUUUAUUCAGGGUGUAGAAUUACAUUAUUCUGCUUUCCGAGGGUUCAGUCCUUGACUCUUCGCCUCCCUCAGGGGAAAACCUGGCGCCUCCUGCCCGUAUCAGACGACUCGAAACGGGAGAGAGGAGAGGAGGAGGAGGAGGAAGAGGAGGAGGUGGGGGGGAGAAAGAACUGAAAAAAUAGAGAGCAGAACGCGCUGAAAUACAGCCUUGGAGCUGGAUGGAUGGAUGGAGGAUUUUCUAAACGUCACACAGAAAGGAGAAAAGUAGCUGAGGGGACUGAUUUCACACCAAACAACUUCCUGCUUUGGUGGUCAACAGAAAUAAACUAUUCAACUCCAGAUGGACGACAUGUCUAAAGAAGUGCAGCUUUGAUUAUCAAUCCAUUGUGUUUACCAGACACUGUGUGUAAAGAAUAAUCGAUUUGCAACAGUGGAAUUCCUGAGAAAAAUAAACCAGCAAAAUGUGUAAUUUUUCUAGGAAAAAGUGUUUUUUGAUAAUCACUUUCAGUCCGUAAUGAUGAUAAUCUCCAGUUUCAUUAACUCCACAGAUGUUAUGUACUAGAAAAACAAAGCUGUGGUCUUAAGCAGGAUGGGAGCCACUCAGUAUGAUGAUUUCAUUGUAUCCAUGAUUAGCCUGGGAAAAAACAAGCAAAUGCAGUUAACACUGGGGUAUUUUUUCCCCCUUAUUCGCUCGCUGCAAAGUAUAUGCAUCGGUAAAGGAUCAUAUUCUCUUAAUUAGAGCAACAGUUUUCAAGACAGGAUAAAAGAAACGUCUUCCUACAGGAAUAAAAAGAACAAAAGACCCAGCUGAACAUUCAAAGCUCAUAAUCUUAACAAAAAAAAAAAAAUGAAAGAUGUUUUUGGUGUCCUGGGUUGAACAUAAUAAAGCACUCUUAUUCAGUCAGUCCUUGUUUAUGUUUUGGAAAUCAAGUAAUGAGUUUAAAAGGCUACAUUUAUUUGCAACGGACCUAUAUAAAUUACUUUUUCACCGGGAUUAAACCGUUCUGAGGAAGAAUGAACAAUGUACAGUGUGUGUGUGUUUACCCAGCACCGAGGAAAAGAUGGCACAUUAGGCCGGAGGGCACAUCAUUAUUAGAGAGCCCGUCUCCCCUCCCUUUCUUUCCAUUUCUA